GAUGAACGCUGGCGGCGUGCCUAAUACAUGCAAGUAGAACGCUGAAGGAAGGAGCUUGCUCUUUCCGGAUGAGUUGCGAACGGGUGAGUAACGCGUAGGUAACCUGCCUGGUAGCGGGGGAUAACUAUUGGAAACGAUAGCUAAUACCGCAUAACAGUAGAUGUUGCAUGAUAUCUACUUAAAAGGUGCAAUUGCACCACUACCAGAUGGACCUGCGUUGUAUUAGCUAGUUGGUGAGGUAACGGCUCACCAAGGCGACGAUACAUAGCCGACCUGAGAGGGUGAUCGGCCACACUGGGACUGAGACACGGCCCAGACUCCUACGGGAGGCAGCAGUAGGGAAUCUUCGGCAAUGGACGGAAGUCUGACCGAGCAACGCCGCGUGAGUGAAGAAGGUUUUCGGAUCGUAAAGCUCUGUUGUAAGAGAAGAACGAGUGUGCGAGUGGAAAGUUCACACUGUGACGGUAUCUUACCAGAAAGGGACGGCUAACUACGUG
This 497-nucleotide ribosomal RNA is filed under the name uncultured bacterium. Its description in RNAcentral is "partial 16S ribosomal RNA". It matches the Rfam family "Bacterial small subunit ribosomal RNA", at positions 28 to 507 of the family's 1533-position model. The record is from RNAcentral.